This 484-nucleotide ribosomal RNA is filed under the name uncultured bacterium. RNAcentral's name for it is "partial 16S ribosomal RNA". It matches the Rfam family "Bacterial small subunit ribosomal RNA", at positions 30 to 507 of the family's 1533-position model. The record is from RNAcentral.
AUUGGACGCUGGCGGCAGGCCUAACACAUGCAAGUCGAGCGGAUGAAGGGAGCUUGCUCCUGGAUUCAGCGGCGGACGGGUGAGUAAUGCCUAGGAAUCUGCCUGGUAGUGGGGGAUAACGUCCGGAAACGGGCGCUAAUACCGCAUACGUCCUGAGGGAGAAAGAGGGGGAUCUUCGGACCUCACGCUAUCAGAUGAGCCUAGGUCGGAUUAGCUAGUUGGUGGGGUAAAGGCCUACCAAGGCGACGAUCCGUAACUUGUCUGAGAGGAUGAUCAGUCAAACUGGAACUGAGACACGGUCCAGACUCCUACGGGAGGCAGCAGUGGGGAAUAUUGGACAAUGGGCGAAAGCCUGAUCCAGCCAUGCCGCGUGUGUGAAGAAGGUCUUCGGAUUGUAAAGCACUUUAAGUUGGGAGGAAGGGCAGUAAGUUAAUACCUUGCUGUUUUGACGUUACCAACAGAAUAAGCACCGGCUAACUUCGUG